Molecule: ribosomal RNA, 253 nt
Filed under: uncultured bacterium
Lineage: Bacteria
Description: partial 16S ribosomal RNA
Rfam family: Bacterial small subunit ribosomal RNA
Source: RNAcentral
UACCAAGGGUGCAAGCGUUACUCGGAAUUACUGGGCGUAAAGCGUGAGUAGGUGGUUUCUUAAGUCUGCUGUGAAAGCCCCGGGCUCAACCUGGGAAUUGCAGUGGAUACUGGGAAGCUAGAGUGCGGUAGAGGGUAGUGGAAUUCCCGGUGUAGCGGUGAAAUGCGUAGAGAUCGGGAGGACCACCAGUGGCGAAGGCGGCUACCUGGACCAGCACUGACACUGAGUCACGAAAGCGGGGGGAGCAAACAGG